GAUGAACGCUAGCUACAGGCUUAACACAUGCAAGUCGAGGGGCAGCAUGAAAGUUUGCUUGCAAACUUUUGAUGGCGACCGGCGCACGGGUGAGUAACACGUAUCCAACCUGCCGUCUACUCUUGGCCAGCCUUCUGAAAGGAAGAUUAAUCCAGGAUGGGAUCAUGAGUUCACAUGUCCGCAUGAUUAAAGGUAUUUUCCGGUAGACGAUGGGGAUGCGUUCCAUUAGAUAGUAGGCGGGGUAACGGCCCACCUAGUCAACGAUGGAUAGGGGUUCUGAGAGGAAGGUCCCCCACAUUGGAACUGAGACACGGUCCAA
This 319-nucleotide ribosomal RNA is filed under the name uncultured bacterium. RNAcentral describes it as "bacterial SSU rRNA". It matches the Rfam family "Bacterial small subunit ribosomal RNA", at positions 28 to 334 of the family's 1533-position model. The record is from RNAcentral.